AACGCUUGAGUUUUCUUGUGAGUUUAAGAAAAAAAAAAAGCACCUAACAAUUUCUAGCCAUGUGAACUCUGACGUUUCUCCUUCAGGAUGACAGCUAAAAAGUCACUCACCAUCUGGUUCUACAAGAAUAAAGUCAUUAGCCACAGCAGUCCCUUACCCCAACACGCCCUGACAGGAGUUCAGGGUGGAGAUCAGGAAUGGGGCACUCUCUGCUCUGGGAAAACUGACAGAAUAGGCCUGCAGGUAGUUAGAUAAUUUCCUGAGAAAAUUCUAUGAAUUCAAUUUUUUGCAACUUCUCAUACUUAGAAAAGCACUAAAAGCAUUAAUAGUGACAAAUGCUCCUCAUGACUAGCAGCAACCUUCUACAAAGAUGUGUCCUUGAUUGCACGUAUCCCCUUCACCACAAUCACCUAUAUACUGACGUCCCCAUUAUGUCCUUGGAGCAGUUCGUCAGAGCUGACUGAGAGGCUGUCCUCCAGGCUAUAGUCCAGUGAGUCCUCCCAAAAAACUGAACUCCCAGCUCUUAUGUUGUCGUUUGUUUCCAGUCAACAAGGACCUCACUGAUUUCCCAGGAGACCUCCUCAGGUCAGCCUGUUCUCAUUCUCAAUGAAGACACCUCCAUUUCUCACCUACAGUCCAGGCUGGACAUCCGUUUGUCUACUGAUAGAGUCCAGGGAAGGAUCUCUACUCUAUUGUUCCAACUAUUGGUUAAGAUAUGGGUAUGACCAAGACAGAAGCGCAUAUGCGCUUCUUAGACAGAAGCAGUGAAGGUUUUUAAUGGGCUCCUUAGCAGGGAGAGUCUGGCUUGAACUCCAGAGUCACCCUCAUGGCCUUGUAUAGUUGUCUUUAUUUAAAUUUCUAGCCUCAGCCCAUUAAAACAUCAUAAUACUGAAGAAUUGAAAUAAAAAUAUUUUAAAAAUCAUUUGUUAAUAAAAUGAUAUUUUUAGCAGUAAUAUAGGAAUGGUUUCUGCUUGUUUUAGGACCCUAAUCCUUAGAAAGUUUCCCAAACCUCUAAAUGUCCUUCUGACUUUAGAAGUACCUACUCAGUGCUGUAUGCACCAACUGGAAAGAACAGAAAGAUGAUCCAUCAGUGUCCUCUUUCCAAAGUGCCUAAAUUAAAUAAAUGAAUUUCCACUUA
Molecule: long non-coding RNA, 1138 nt
Organism: Orcinus orca (killer whale)
Lineage: Eukaryota; Metazoa; Chordata; Mammalia; Artiodactyla; Delphinidae
Exons: 2
Source: RefSeq, a predicted model, not a curated record